Molecule: long non-coding RNA, 1306 nt
Filed under: Lynx pardinus (Iberian lynx)
Lineage: Eukaryota; Metazoa; Chordata; Mammalia; Carnivora; Felidae
Source: RNAcentral
GGUCAAAAAGGAGCCCAGAGUGACAGUUUUCCUUGACGGUCGCCGUUCUGUUUGCUGUAACUGAUCUGCAACAUAUCAGGAAAAGACAAUUCCCAUCGUACCUGCCAUUUCUCCGAUAUAGGUGGAAUCCUUUAUUACAAUAGACAGGUUUCCAGAGGCCAACAGAAAUGCUCUGUUGAUGGGUCUUGCAUAGAGUUGCUAGAAUAAAACUUCUGAGAAGUAGAUUGCUGAGAUGAAGAACAAGUAUGGAGGGGCAGGCAGUGGGAAUGGGUUGGACAUGUGUGCUGGAAAAAUCCAGUGGCAAGUGGCACAGAUCUUAACAGUGCUUUGGGUCACUGCCCUGAAAAGCUUAAGGCAUAAGUACCAGGGUCAAAAGCCAGUCAAACAUUUUGAUUCUCAAGACCAGAAGGGAACAAUGUCAUUCAGGACAACUGUGUUCUCGUCUUAGUUGUGCCAGAUGAAGAUUCCAGGAGGACUCUGAGGUUGAGCUUUCUGGUGAGGAUUCUGUGGUCAUGACUGUGAUGGAACACAACCAUCUCAGGACCCGGUAGGUUUCUGGGAACUGCCUGGUGGGUCGGUACAGCAUGUUUCCAAGGGCUGUGGCCGGUUGUGGCCAUGGGAUCUCCAACUGCAUGCGAGAGCAACCUGGAGAGACUUUGACAGCACAGGUCAGCAUAAUACCUGCAGCUGCCACUCGCCUUUCCUAUAAACGGCUUGGGACCUGGGCUGGAAGCCUUCUAAGUGAGUCCGGGUGUUUUCCAUAAACUACCACGUAGAUGGUAGAUGGGUAUUUCGAUCAACUUUUUCGUUUAGAGCUUUCACCCUUUUUUCUGCAGGUUGCCCCCAAGUGUCCUGGCAGUAUCUGCUACUGAAGAAUCUGAAGUUACCAGGUCGUUGCUGUGCUUUAGAUAAGGUAAAGUUAGAUGUUGAAGACAUCCUGACCCUCCGGUUCCCUUUCCCAUCGGAUCUGAACACUGGUCUUGGUGGUCGUAAAAGGAGGAAAAAGAAUACUGAAACUAGCCUCCCAGUGCUUAUCGUCUGGUAUAUAGCUUGGAGGCUAGUUUCAAACAAGAUUUGAAUUCUCUUUGAUCUCCUCCCCUGUAAAAUGGGAUAAUCUUAGGCUUAAAGGGAGGAUGUCGGUGAAGGUCUGGGCAGUUGUAGUGAUGGCUGACUUAAUGCUUAUGAAUUUGAUCAACAUGAAUGUCCUUCUUGCCUCUUGGUUGAGAGUGUCCUGUUUUUUGUUUUUUUUUAAAGAUCUGUUACCAGUAAAGCUGUCCUUAUCUGUGAUUAUGGAUCUAUAGUUGGG